GCCGGGGUCGCCUAGCUCGGUAGGGCGGAGGCCUGCUAAGCCUCUGGGGUCCCACCCCGCGCGGGUUCAAAUCCCGCCCCCGGCGCCA
Molecule: transfer RNA, 88 nt
Filed under: Sulfolobus acidocaldarius
Lineage: Archaea; Thermoproteati; Thermoproteota; Thermoprotei; Sulfolobales; Sulfolobaceae
Also listed under: 4 other names
Description: tRNA-Ser
Rfam family: tRNA
About the family: Transfer RNA (tRNA) molecules are approximately 80 nucleotides in length. Their secondary structure includes four short double-helical elements and three loops (D, anti-codon, and T loops).
Source: RNAcentral